RNAcentral lists this ribosomal RNA (505 nucleotides) under uncultured bacterium. RNAcentral describes it as "partial 16S ribosomal RNA". It matches the Rfam family "Bacterial small subunit ribosomal RNA", at positions 28 to 507 of the family's 1533-position model. The record is from RNAcentral.
GACGAACGCUGGCGGCGUGCCUAAUACAUGCAAGUAGAACGCACAGUUUAUACCGUAGCUUGCUCCACCAUAGACUGUGAGUUGCGAACGGGUGAGUAACGCGUAGGUAACCUGCCUGGUAGCGGGGGAUAACUAUUGGAAACGAUAGCUAAUACCGCAUAAUAUUAAUUAUUGCAUGAUAAUUAAUUGAAAGGUGCAAUUGCACCACUACCAGAUGGACCUGCGUUGUAUUAGCUAGUAGGUGAGGUAACGGCUCACCUAGGCGACGAUACAUAGCCGACCUGAGAGGGUGAUCGGCCACACUGGGACUGAGACACGGCCCAGACUCCUACGGGAGGCAGCAGUAGGGAAUCUUCGGCAGUGGACGAAAGUCUGACCGAGCAACGCCGCGUGAGGGAAGAAGGUUUUCGGAUCGUAAAGCUCUGUUGUAAGAGAAGAACGGGUGUGAGAGUGGAAAGUUCACACUGUGACGGUAUCUUACCAGAAAGGGACGGCUAACUACGUG